This 73-nucleotide transfer RNA is filed under the name Camelus bactrianus (Bactrian camel). It matches the Rfam family "tRNA". Rfam says of the family: Transfer RNA (tRNA) molecules are approximately 80 nucleotides in length. The record is from Rfam by way of RNAcentral. RNAcentral also lists the same sequence under 1 other name. Lineage: Eukaryota; Metazoa; Chordata; Mammalia; Artiodactyla; Camelidae.
GAGGGCGUAGUUCAAGUGGUAGAGCACAUGCUUACCAUGCAAGAGGAUCUGGGUUCAAUCCCCAGUACCUCCU